UGGGGAAUCUUGCGCAAUGCGCGAAAGCGUGACGCAGCAACGCCGCGUGGGGGAAGACGGCCUUCGGGUUGUAAACCCCUUUCAGGAGGGACGCGGUACCUCCAGAAGAAGCCCCGGCUAACUACGUGCCAGCAGCCGCGGUAAUACGUAGGGGGCUAGCGUUGUCCGGAAUCAUUGGGCGUAAAGCGCGCGUAGGCGGCCCGGUAAGUCCGCUCUGAAAGUCCAGGGCUCAACCCUGGAAAGCGGGUGGAUACUGUCGGGCUAGAAUUCGGAAGAGGCGAGUGGAAUUCCUGGUGUAGCGGUGGAAUGCGCAGAUAUCAGGAGGAACACCAAUAGCGAAGGCAGCUCGCUGGGACGAUAUUGACGUUAAGGCGCGAAAGCGUGGGGAGCAAACAGGAUUAGAUACCCGAGUAGU
This 415-nucleotide ribosomal RNA is filed under the name uncultured bacterium. RNAcentral's name for it is "bacterial SSU rRNA". It matches the Rfam family "Bacterial small subunit ribosomal RNA", at positions 355 to 794 of the family's 1533-position model. The record is from RNAcentral.